AAAGCGAUAAUCGAAUUUCGCAAUCCUUUGUUGUUGGUGCGUUGUCACCAAAAAAUUUUGAAUAUGAUAUAGUGCGCGCAAAACAAAUAAUUCAAUCAGAAGUUGCAAAAUGGCGGUUUACGUAGGCAUGAAACGGCUUGAAUAUUUUAGUAUGGAACCUGGCCUGCCUGCAUUUCCGCCAUUUUCUUUUUUUUCAAACUAACAGCCACACACAAAACCUGUAUUAAUCAAUAAUAGCUAGAAUGUUGUACUGAGUACUGUUAAUAAACGUUUUAUGCAUGGCCGCUAUUUUGAAAAAAAAUAAUUGCAGACUAUUAAGUAGGCCAAAAUCUUCAAAGCCCUUUAAUUACAUCAGGUACAGAAAAUCUUAUUCGGCAUUGUUUUACCUUUUGACAAACUUGUAGCAAUGAUUCCACUGGCAGAGUAUUAGUACUUCUGUGUUUCACUGUCAAGACUGUCCAGUAGUGUUGAUAAGAGAUUUUAAAUCUCGUCAGAGUAAAGUGAACCUUAAGGCCCUUGAUUUAAGGUCUUUCAUUCAGUACUACCGAUUUUUAUUUCGCUAGGUUCCCGGUUUUAGCUGGCUGUAGAUGUUUAGACGAAGUUAAGCUUUAAACAAGGGUGAUUAAGGUCCAUUUUACUUUAACGUUAAAGUGUUGACGCUCGAAUCAACAUUUUAAAGAUGUAAAAUCUCAUACUAACUCUACUGUUAAAGACUUUAGGGCCAGUUAAACGUCAGACGAUAAAAGUAAAGUUAAACUUGCACAACAAAAGAAAAACUAAAUGGGUUGCAUAAGUCAGUAUUCGUAUUUACUUCUAUAGUUAAGGUAUAUCCCCGACACUCCAUACAAGCAAACUGAUUUAAUUAUCUACUACUACUACCGGAACACCGGCCUGUCCGCACACGAUUUGUGUGUGAGAACCUGACUUGCAGCCCACUAUGUUUUAUUGAUGGUAUUUUUAAAACUUAAAUACCGUCUGAUAUAUUUAACUGGUCCUAAUAAUAAAAUUGUUGAAACUAAAAAUACUUCAUAAAUAUAAUUAUACAUAGUUUAUUUUUAUACUUAUGCACUGAAGAGUAGCUUAAAUGAUGCUUUUGUUGAAAUCAAAAUAUUGUAGAUAAUAAUUUAAUUGUUUAUUUGUAUGAUAUAAUUAUGAUAAAUAUGAUCGAAAUCACCAAAUAAUAUAAUUUGAAUAUACGUAUGUUGAUAUCGAUAUUA
Molecule: long non-coding RNA, 1217 nt
Organism: Maniola jurtina (meadow brown)
Lineage: Eukaryota; Metazoa; Arthropoda; Insecta; Lepidoptera; Nymphalidae
Exons: 2
Source: RefSeq, a predicted model, not a curated record